Molecule: non-coding RNA, 214 nt
Organism: Pelobates cultripes (western spadefoot toad)
Lineage: Eukaryota; Metazoa; Chordata; Amphibia; Anura; Pelobatidae
Source: the annotation of a GenBank genome assembly
UUUUAAAGUGACAAUUGGAAUUUAUGUGUCACUCUUAAAUCAAGGAGUAAGAGGCCUGGACAAUGUGGUUCGGUACUUAUCCAUCUGGUUUUUAAUGCGUUCAAAUUUUCAAGAUCAAGAGGAAUAUACUGUUGUUUACAGUCUUUUCUGCUUUCUUUGUCUAUGUUGUGCUUUGUAGAACAUAAUGUAUAAAUAUGGCUAAUUGUUUAAAUUG